CCGAUAAGCCCAGGGCAUGGGCGCUGGGGGUACGGGUGAGUGUGUGUGUCUGUCUGUCUGUCUGUUUGUCUGUGUCUAUGUGUGUGUGUAUCUGUGUAUAUAUGUCUGUGUGUUUGUAAGUAUAUGUAUAUGUGACUGUGUGGGUUGGGGAGUGUGCGUGUGUGUGUUUCUGGCAUCUAAAGAUGGCCAAGGUGAGCCUCCACCCUGUAGCCUCAUGUCUUUGUAAACCUCAGACUUCCUUCAACUAUACAUCUGCCUUCAAGAGACUUUAGACCAAUGGUUCUCAACCUGUGGGUCAAGACCCCUUUGAGAGUCACGUACCAGAUAUCCUGCAUAUCAGAUAUUUACAUUAUGGUUCAUAACAGUAGCAAAACAGUUAUGAAGUAGCAACAAAAUAAUAUUGUGGUUGGGGUCAGCACAACAUGAGGAACAUGUAUUAAAGGGUCGCUGCAUUAGGAAGGCUGAGAACCACUGCCCUAAACAGUUCGCCCAGCAGCUGCCUGCCUCCCUGUCUUGCCUCCAGACCUGAACCUUUGAAUGCACAAAUUAAGCUUCAGAUUUUAUUCUUCCCUAAACCCCUUUCUAGCAACCCACGGAUAUCUUCAAUGAGCACUGAUUGCCUUCCUCAUCCCAGAUGUCAAGAGAGCACCGAGUGAAAGAUGCCGCUCUGCUCUCAGAGACAGAACAGAAAAGCUAUGCCUAAUUCAUAGAGGACUGGGCCCCUCCCACCCACAUCCUCCUUGGAGAAGAGGGCCCAUAGCGCUCUACUGUGAGAGCUGCAAAAUAACACUAUAAAAAUGUUUAUAUACACAUGAGGUCCCCAAGGCAACCUACACGACACAAUGAGCGUGUUGGAAGCAAACCGAGAUAAAGAAAAUGCUAUUUGCUGGCACCUUGUUGGAGAGAUCUGCGGGUGGCUAGAGGAAAUACUGUAGCAUCCAGCUUGCAACCCGGGAUGGAAUCAGCCGCCUUCCCAAGAAGGUGAGGCCAGGGAGCACAAGAAGUUCUAGGAGCCAGACUCUUACGGAGCUCAAUCCAACACGCGAAUGCUGGCAAAGCUAUGCUCCCUCCGAGGGUCUCAAGGACAGUCUGUUCCUAUACCUUUCUCCAUUUUCUUGAGCUGUGUUCCUCGGCUCAUGGCCUCACAUCCACCUUCCAAGCUAGCGUGGUAGCAUCUUCCUUUAAAAAAAAAAUUAUUAAAAAUUUUAAACUUUA
This is a long non-coding RNA of Peromyscus californicus insignis, 1215 nucleotides long. RefSeq lists it as uncharacterized. The transcript has 2 exons. The record is from RefSeq and is a predicted model, not a curated record. NCBI's taxonomy places the organism in Eukaryota, Metazoa, Chordata, Mammalia, Rodentia, Cricetidae.